RNAcentral lists this transfer-messenger RNA (141 nucleotides) under Bacilli bacterium. RNAcentral's name for it is "partial transfer-messenger RNA". It matches the Rfam family "transfer-messenger RNA", at positions 232 to 374 of the family's 374-position model. Rfam says of the family: Bacterial tmRNA, also known as 10Sa RNA or SsrA, is named for its dual tRNA and mRNA-like properties. Its role is to liberate the mRNA from a stalled ribosome. To accomplish this part of the tmRNA is used as a reading frame that ends in a translation stop signal. Lineage: Bacteria; Bacillati; Bacillota; Bacilli. The record is from RNAcentral.
AAUAAUGAAUUUUAUAGACUUACUAAGUAUUUAGGUUGUUAAUUACUUUUGUACUUAGGACAUAUUCUUAAUUAACUAAACUUGUAGAUGUUACUUAUUACGUAUUUUUGGACAGGGGUUCAACUCCCCUCAGCUCCACCA